AGCAGCCGCGGUAAUUCCAGCUACAAUAGCGUAUAUUAAAGUUGUUGCAGUUAAAAAGCUCGUAGUUGAAUUUCGGGGUUCUACCGUUGGUCGGGCAAUAGUCUGUACUGGCGUGUAGAAUUUCUACCUUCUGGGGAACUAUCAUGUUAUUUAUUUAGCGUGGUAGGAAACCAGGACCUUUACCUUGAAAAAAUUAGAGUGUUCAAAGCAGGCUUACGUCUGAAUACAUUAGCAUGGAAUAAUAAAAUAGGGCGGUGGUCCUGUUUUGUUGGUUUCUGAAUCACCGUAAUGAUUAAUAGGGAUAGUUGGGGGCAUUAGUAUUCAAUUGUCAGAGGUGAAAUUCUUGGAUUUAUUGAAGACUAACUUCUGCGAAAGCAUUUGCCAAGUAUGUUUUCAUUAAUCAAGAACCGAAAGUUAGGGGAUCGAAGACGAUCAGAUACCGUCGUAGUCUUAACCAUAAACUAUGCCGACUAGGGAUCGGACGAUGUUAAUUUUUUUGACUCG
This 504-nucleotide ribosomal RNA is filed under the name uncultured Gigaspora. RNAcentral describes it as "SSU rRNA". It matches the Rfam family "Eukaryotic small subunit ribosomal RNA", at positions 569 to 1078 of the family's 1831-position model. Lineage: Eukaryota; Fungi; Glomeromycota; Glomeromycetes; Diversisporales; Gigasporaceae. The record is from RNAcentral.